RNAcentral lists this ribosomal RNA (402 nucleotides) under uncultured Asticcacaulis sp. RNAcentral's name for it is "bacterial SSU rRNA". It matches the Rfam family "Bacterial small subunit ribosomal RNA", at positions 355 to 774 of the family's 1533-position model. The record is from RNAcentral. Lineage: Bacteria; Pseudomonadati; Pseudomonadota; Alphaproteobacteria; Caulobacterales; Caulobacteraceae.
UGGGGAAUCUUGCGCAAUGGGCGAAAGCCUGACGCAGCCAUGCCGCGUGAAUGAUGAAGGUCUUAGGAUUGUAAAAUUCUUUCAGCAGGGACGAUAAUGACGGUACCUGCAGAAGAAGCCCCGGCUAACUUCGUGCCAGCAGCCGCGGUAAUACGAAGGGGGCUAGCGUUGCUCGGAAUUACUGGGCGUAAAGGGAGCGUAGGCGGGUUAUCAAGUUGGAGGUGAAAGCCCAGGGCUCAACCUUGGAAUUGCCUUCAAAACUGAUAGCCUAGAGUAUGAUAGAGGUAAGUGGAACUCCGAGUGUAGAGGUGAAAUUCGUAGAUAUUCGGAAGAACACCAGUGGCGAAGGCGACUUACUGGAUCAUGACUGACGCUGAGGCUCGAAAGCGUGGGGAGCAAACA